GUGAGGCUCAGUAUGGGGUGG
Molecule: microRNA, 21 nt
Filed under: Mus musculus (house mouse)
Lineage: Eukaryota; Metazoa; Chordata; Mammalia; Rodentia; Muridae
Description: mmu-miR-7068-5p
Source: miRBase by way of RNAcentral